UCCUUAUCACUGGCCCAAUUUCUUCUAUAUUCUUACCCAAAAAAAAAAUUCUUCUCUAUUUGCAGACCUGGGCCUGGGCCUGGGCCUAUCUUCUUGAAUAUUUUUUCUUUUUUUGCUGGGAAUCUUCUUGGAACUUCACUUGUUGUGCAGCAUGCCAGAACCUUUACAAUCCUCGCAGCAGAUCAACAGGAGAAAAAAAAGAUUUCAAUCCAAUGCUUUUAGGAUGAUUGGUAGCCAUCUCUGACCGUCCAAUGGUUUUGGCAUGGUUUCGGCCUUUACCGGGAUGUGACGUCAUGUCUGCUUCUGAGAGUAUUUUAUUCUUCCUACCAAAAAAAAAGUAUUUUAUUCUUACUUUCCUUUGUGUUUUGGUAGACUUUUUAUUCUGCCAUCCUGUUCCGCAAUUCUACAGAACAGAACUGCGGAAUUGGGUCUCUUGGAUAAACGAAGUAGGGUUUCAUUUGAUCGAAGUGUGGGAAGAUGCCUGUAGGAACAGCAUCAGGAUCAGGUAUGUUCAAAUUCCUUCGGCCUGGUCUUCGUCCUCAGUCAACUGACAUUCAAGCUGCGGUCACCUGGGGAUUCGCCGCUGCUACGGGAGCUCUUUAUCUGAUCCAGCCAUUCGAUUGGAUCAAGAAGAAAUUUUUUGAGAAACCUCAAGAGCAACAAUGAUUAAAGAUGCAGCAGAUUCCAGAAUCCCUGUUUAACAGUUUGCAAUGGGAUGGUAUGUUUCUGAGGAGAGAACUGUGUAGAAAGCCAGUUUAUGUGAAUAAUGCAUCUUGAAUUUUGUUGUUUGUAUUUUCAUUUGGAGGGCUUGUGGGAUGAUACUGAGGAAGCCCAGACUUAAUUUGCAGUUCUUCAAGUUCUACUGUUUUCUCUUUGCCAACUUAUUCUUUUAAAGAGUGCAAUCCAUGGCUUUUCCUA
Long non-coding RNA from Macadamia integrifolia, 918 nucleotides. RefSeq lists it as uncharacterized. NCBI's taxonomy places the organism in Eukaryota, Viridiplantae, Streptophyta, Magnoliopsida, Proteales, Proteaceae. The record is from RefSeq and is a predicted model, not a curated record. The transcript is spliced from 2 exons.